UCGCCAACAUUUCAUAAGGCCUUCCUAGUGA
Molecule: non-coding RNA, 31 nt
Filed under: Mus musculus (house mouse)
Lineage: Eukaryota; Metazoa; Chordata; Mammalia; Rodentia; Muridae
Source: RNAcentral